UAGCACGCUGACUGGCACUUGGAGAGUGGCAAGUCUUCCAGUAUGGGGAGCAAAACAGCUAUGGGUCAAGUCCGAUAUCUUUAGGAGAAGUCUUAUUGUGAGGGCGAGUUAUAUAACACCAUAGGACUGGCCGUCCCGUAUGAAAAGAUUAUAUUAGAAUUGAAUGAAGCUUUGUUUAUAUAUUGAUAAUGACAGUAUAUAUAUCGUGUCUUGACUAAUUGCGUGCCAUCAGUCGCGGUAAUACGUAAGAUACUAGUGUUAUUCAUCUUAAUUAGGUUUAAAGGGUACCCAGACGGUCAAUAUAGCUUAUAAAAUGUUAGUACUUGACUAGAGUUUUAUGUAAGAGGGCAGUACUUGAGGAGGAGAGAUGAAAUUUCGUGAUACCAAAGGGACUCUGUGAAGGCGAAGGCAGCCCUCGAUGUAAAAACUGACGUUGAAGGACUAAGGCGCAGAGAACAAACAGGAUUAGAUACCCAAGUAGUCUUUGCAGUAAAUGAUGAAUGCCAUAAGUUAGAUUGAUCAAUUAUAGUCUAGGGUUAGUCUAGCAAACUAAUGCCCUAUGAUAUAAUUCAAAAUAUCUGGUCUAUAAAUGAAAGUGUAAGCAUUUCACCUCAAGAGUAAUGUGGCAACGCAGGAACUGAAAUCACUAGACCGUUUCUGACACCUUAGUGAAGUAUGUUAUUUAAUUUAUGAUCUGCCAUAACGC
This 706-nucleotide ribosomal RNA is filed under the name Fusarium oxysporum. Its description in RNAcentral is "SSU rRNA". It matches the Rfam family "Bacterial small subunit ribosomal RNA", at positions 302 to 971 of the family's 1533-position model. The record is from RNAcentral. Lineage: Eukaryota; Fungi; Ascomycota; Sordariomycetes; Hypocreales; Nectriaceae.